RNAcentral lists this long non-coding RNA (1003 nucleotides) under Lupinus angustifolius (narrow-leaved blue lupine). RNAcentral's name for it is "long non-coding RNA (LANG_LNC000873)". The record is from RNAcentral. Lineage: Eukaryota; Viridiplantae; Streptophyta; Magnoliopsida; Fabales; Fabaceae.
GAAAGAACACAGUGAUAAGAAGCAAAUAGGCUAUGUAAUGAUGGAAUAGAAGGUGAAUAGGGGGUUAUUCUUUUGAACAGAAUCAAGGGGAUGGUGGAGUACCUUUCUCGCGCUCAUGGUCCACAUUUCCUAUACUUUUCUAUUCUUCGGUUACAUUGUUAUAAAAGUGUAUGCAAUAGUAUGUUAUUAUUGUUAAUAAAUAAGAAGGAAUGAAAAGAGAGGACGAUUAGAUUUUUGAAAGAAAACGGUGAGGGAAAGAGAGGAAAAGUCAGCAUAUAUGGUGUAUAAGAGAGUAUAGAGGAAAGCAAAAAAAAAAACUAAGGUGGUGGAAAUAUAAAGCUCAUUAAGAGGCAAUUUCUCAUUCUGAGUGCAUGAGUCUCAUGAUAGAAAUGUAGAUUCUUUGUAUACCCAGGACCCCCCACCUCUUGGUGUUCCAUAUUUCAUUCAACUCACCCCACCACCUCAAAAACACUUAAACCUAACUCCAAAUACAGUAAUCCUCUCUUUUACAUCGUCUCCCCUCUAAUUCACUUUUUGCUUUAAAUGUUGCUCAUCCUUUGUAGCAGAGGGAGUGACCCUUAGGUAUAUAACCUAAUUCGAGUCUGACCAUGCCAAACUAAGAAAGAAAACAACAAUCUCUUCCUCUUUCAUCCUAUUACACACGUAGAAAACAUUAAAAGAGAGAAGAGAAAGUUGGUGCACCAUGUUAUAUCUCUCCCUCAUGGCUCUGGAAACUUCUGCAGCAACAAACCCAGACAAGGUUCACUCCAAUUCGCUCACUGAAGACUCUUAAUGCAAGUCUUGUGAUGCUUGCUACAUGUUCCCAAAAAGGAAUAUGAUAAGAAACCCAUUUCUCUUCUUCCUUUAAAUCUUUUUAGCUUUUCACAGUGCUGAUAUUUGACAAUGAAUGAUUAUAAUAAUGUGAUGAUUGGAAUUGUAAGUAUCAUAUUAUAUUUCUAUUCCAAAUUGAAGGAAAGGUUCAUUGUUGUCAUUUCAUACCAAC